GUCCACGCCGUAAACGAUGGAUGCUAGCCGUUGGCGAGCUUGCUCGUCAGUGGCGCAGCUAACGCUUUAAGCAUCCCGCCUGGGGAGUACGGUCGCAAGAUUAAAACUCAAAGGAAUUGACGGGGGCCCGCACAAGCGGUGGAGCAUGUGGUUCAAUUCGAAGCAACGCGAAGAACCUUACCUAGGCUUGACAUGCACGGAAAUCCUCCAGAGAUGGUGGGUCCGCAAGGGUCGUGCACAGGUGGUGCAUGGUUGUCGU
Molecule: ribosomal RNA, 259 nt
Filed under: uncultured bacterium
Lineage: Bacteria
Description: partial 16S ribosomal RNA
Rfam family: Bacterial small subunit ribosomal RNA
Source: RNAcentral